RNAcentral lists this ribosomal RNA (497 nucleotides) under uncultured bacterium. RNAcentral describes it as "partial 16S ribosomal RNA". It matches the Rfam family "Bacterial small subunit ribosomal RNA", at positions 28 to 507 of the family's 1533-position model. The record is from RNAcentral.
GAUGAACGCUGGCGGCGUGCCUAAUACAUGCAAGUCGAGCGAACAGACGAGGAGCUUGCUCCUCUGACGUUAGCGGCGGAAGGGUGAGUAACACGUGGAUAACCUACCUAUAAGACUGGGAGAACUUCGGGAAACCGGAGCUAAUACCGGAUAAUAUAUUGAACCGCAUGGUUCAAUAGUGAAAGACGGUUUUGCUGGCAAUUAUAGAUGGAGACGCGCCGCAUUAGUUAGUUGGUAAGGUAACGGCUUACCAAGGCAACGAUGCGUAGCCGACCUGAGAGGGUGAUCGGCCACACUGGAACUGAGACACGGUCCACACUCCUACGGGAGGCAGCAGUAGGGAAUCUUCCGCAAUGGGCGAAAGCCUGACGGAGCAACGCCGCGUGAGUGAUGAAGGUCUUCGGAUCGUAAAACUCUGUUAUUAGGGAAGAACAAAUGUGUAAGUAACUAUGCACGUCUUGACGGUACCUAAUCAGAAAGCCACGGCUAACUACGUG